Long non-coding RNA from Oxyura jamaicensis (ruddy duck), 330 nucleotides. RefSeq lists it as uncharacterized. The record is from RefSeq and is a predicted model, not a curated record. NCBI's taxonomy places the organism in Eukaryota, Metazoa, Chordata, Aves, Anseriformes, Anatidae. The transcript is spliced from 2 exons.
CCUUCCUCCUCGUCCUCUCAGCUCCCAGCCUCCGCCAGCCGAGCCACAGCUCCCCCCCCCUCCCCUACCCCGGGGCCGCCCCCGCCGUCUCGGCCGGGGGAGUCGCUGUCGCCUUGAGCGACCGGCGGGGGUGGGUGGCGGUGGCGGUAGGGAAGAGAGAGGCCGGAGGCUGCUGUCACCCGGGCAGCGGCGGCAGAGCCCGUGUUUUGCUCUUAAUCUGAGACUUUACAUCCAGUUUUAUCAACACACUUCAAAGGUCUUGAAGAAGUUGAGAGAUGAGCUUUUUACUGGAAGUGCUAUUCAAGCCUCCGUCUUUGAAGUUCUUGUUUA